This 4629-nucleotide long non-coding RNA is filed under the name Gossypium barbadense (sea-island cotton). Its description in RNAcentral is "long non-coding RNA (GBAR_LNC013996)". The record is from RNAcentral. Lineage: Eukaryota; Viridiplantae; Streptophyta; Magnoliopsida; Malvales; Malvaceae.
UUUAUUAAAAGAAGUGACUUACAAACAGAAAAAAAAAAUCAAAACCUAACAAAAUCCACCCUAAAAAAUCACAACAAAGACCCAGCCUAGAAAAGAGCUCCCCACAGUCCUUAAGGACAUUUAGAAAAUGAAAAACCAAUAGCUCUUUAGAAUCAAAACCGUCUCUUCUCAAUAAUGGAAGUUAAAGAGACUUUCUUCCUCAACCCUUCUUUUUUCCCCUUCGAACAACCCCAAAUCUGGUCACUGAUUACCAUUUCUUUGCUCUUCUGUCGUUUCUGACUACCGACUAUCUUUUUCCAUCUCUUCCAUCACCGACAAAGGAAUCAUAUUAGUCAGAUAAGUAGUUCCUCCUCCUCUUAUGCCUUCUAUAGCUAGUCGAUGGGGUGUUUCAUUUGCCUUUUUGUCGAUAUAUCUAAACAUGUAUUCCUUAAAUCCUCGAUUGGAUCAUUUUGCAUCUUCAAUGUAAGCACUUAUCAUAGAAUCAUCUUAUCUUUGUGUCUCUAGUUUCUUAAUCACUGUGAGGUUGUCUUCUUCAACAACCACUUUCUUGAACCUAAGAUCCAGACCCAUUUGGACUCUUUGAAGGCAGACCAACACUUCAGCCGCAAAAAGGGUAGGUAUAUGGUAGUUGAUUAUCAUUCUUGAGCCCAUAAUCCUACCUUCUGAAUCUCAUCCCACUAACUCCGAACAAGAUUUAUUCAAAUUGCCUAGGAAAGACGCAUCAAAAUUUAUCAAUGUAACAUCUCUCACCCGAUCCGAUCGCUGAUCCAAGUAACAGAAUGCUAAAACAACUAUCAGAACUUACACAUAUGCAAACACAAUUUUAAAUAAGAGCAACAAGUACCACUAUCAACUGUUAGACAUGUAAUCAUAACUAGUUAAACAUUUAAAUAAAUAUUAGAAAUAGAAUUAUUCGAGUAGUAAGGACAAUUUUGAAAAAUUUCGAAAACUAGCGUAAGUAUCGAUACUUUUACCUAGAAUGCUAAAAUUUCACAAGCUAAAAUGUUUUUCAUGCUCAAAACAUAUUCCUACUCAACAUGCAAAUAAUGUUUACUCUAACCAAGCCUACUAUCAUCUUUCAACCAUUUUUCAUGCUACAUUAACACAUAUUGGUCAAACAACUAUAGAAUGCAUUACUAAUAUCAAUCCCAAGCAUCAAAAUUUGUCCACAUCCAAAGUCCAAAAACAACAUUAAAAAUUCAUAAGCCUAAUCCCAAAAUAAUGAUAAUAAUAAUAGUCGUAACCAUCACAUUGCCUUUAUUCAGUAUGUUUAAAGAAUCACAAAACCACUCACUCAAAAAUUAUGCCUUGCUUAAAUCAUUUCCUUUGCCGCUUCAGUCACACGGAAAGUGCUACUUAUCUGUAAAAUUUUAAUGUAGAGUGUGUGAGUUUAAAUAAGCUCAGUGAAUGUUCUGAAUUACUGCAAAGCAUACACAACAACAUAAGUUAAGUAAGGGUAAACUAAGGCACAUGCACAACCAUAUAUUCAUCAAUGCAAAAUAAUAUAUGUUGACACCAUUUUUUUGGUAAAACGGGGUCGACUUGGAUUUUGAAAACAAAAACGAACAUGAGAGUCGCCACCAAUUUUUUUUAUGAGGUGAUCGGGUCACCUCGAAAAAUGGUUAUUUUUAAUAAACGGUUUAGAUUUAUUAAAACAAUGCUUUAGGUCUGCGAAAUUCAGAAAAAUGGGUUUGGGAGUCGGUUACGUACAAAGAAGGAUUAGCAUCCUCGUAACGCCCAAAAUUGGUACCUAGUUGAUUAAUUAAUGUCUUAGUGUCGAAGAUUGAAAAUUUUGAAGAGAUCUAAAAUACGAUCCUUUAUUAAAAUUAUUAAAAAAUGCUCGAAUAAAUUGGAAAGAGAGUUAAAGACCCACUCGUCCCAAAGUAACAAAACAUCACAUCCCGUAAGUUAGGACACGAUAUUUGGAACCAUAGAGAGUAAGUUUGCCUUUAAUUUUUAUUGAAAUUUUAUAUUUUUGAAAAUUAGAAGGACAUUUCACUAUUUUGGUUUAAUGAGAAAAAUCGAAACCCCGUAAGUUAGGGUACGAUUUCUCGGGUCACUAAAACACGAAAUGUUACCUCAUAACGAAAUUUCUUUUAUUUUUUUUAAAAAAAUUUAAAAGGAUUCUUUGCUAUUUAGGAUUAGCGAGAAAACUGAAACCCCGUAAGUUAGGGUACGAUCUCUCGAAUCACUAAAAUGCAAAGAUAUUGCCUUAUUGAGAUUUCUUUCAUUUUUUGAAAUUUUAAAAGGAUAUUUUGCUAUUAGUUUUAACGAGAAAGACCGAAACCUCGUAAGUUAGGGCACGAUUUUCUCAUAGUUCUAACAUGCAAAAUAUUUCUUUAUUUUUUGGAUAUUUCUCUUGUUGAAUUUGAGUAAGAAUCGAUGGAAUAUUUAAGAGUAACGCGUAUGCGAUUUGGACUAUACUAAAAAAAAAAUUACUUGAGAUAAAAGAAAGCAUACCUAACUAAUAGUAAUAUUAUAAUAUACAUUUGCAACAACUAUAACAUAAUACACAUGAUAGAAUAGUUAUAUAGCCUUGAUACUAGCAAAACCUAAUACUAACAUAUAUGCAUAAAAGCAAUGAUACCAAUGUCAAUAUAAUAGCGACAAUAAAACACAAAACUAGUAAAAUUCCAAAAGGAGUAAAACAUUCAUGUAUUAUAUAUAAAAUUUAAUAUAAAUUAAAUCAUCAAAUAAUAAUAAGAACAUACAAAAACAUAAAACUAAUAAAAAUCAGAUUAAAUGUUAAAUAUAAAAUAAACAAACAAAUAAAAUGUUAAAAGGAAAAUUUAAUAAAAACCCUUUUUGUUUAAAAUAUAAAAACAAAUAUAAAUAAAUAAUAAAAAUAAAAUGUCUGAGGACCGAAUUAAAAUCGGGUCACAAUAUUGGGGUUUAAACCGCAAAUAAUUAAAAAAGGUUGCAAGGGACUGAACUGAAAUAUGCUCGAAGCGUGAGGGACCUUUAGGGAAAUAUUCUCCAGCCCUAAAUGCAGUGAGAGUCUGCGCAUGGUCUAAGGACCAGAUUGAAUUGGAAGUCAAAAUUCGCGGCCCAAAUCAAAAAAACAAGAAGGAUCGAAUUGCACUGUGGCGCAAGAUGGAAGGACCCCGCACGUAAUUAGCCCAAUCAUCGUAAAAUACGCAGAUCCUACGGGCUGCGGGUCGGGUCACGGGUCGGCCUCCCUAGAACGACGCCGUUUUGGCGCCUGAGGAGGCCUAUUGUAACGGUGCCGUUUUAUUACAUCAUUGAAGCCAGAUUUUUUUUUGACCUUUUAUUUUCAGUCCAGAAGGAAAAAACUAAAGGGAGCCUCCAUUUCCUCUCAACGCCCCCAUCUCUCCGGCCUAGGUUUUCAACAGUAGGUCGCCCUAGCGCCGCCGUGUAACCACCGUGCCAGAGAGUAAAAACGUCUUUUUUCUUUUAAAAAAGGAAUCCUCUCCCUUUAAAGGGGCUUUUUCUUCAAAUGUAAAUCCGAUUCGGGGUAUUUUGAAACUGCAAACGAGGAAGAAAAAGAGGACGUGGUCGUCCUUGCUACUUCGCCGUCUUCUUUUUGCGGAUGCAGUCGAGAUGAAAUCUCAAGGGGUUUUUGCGGCCUUAACGACUGGAGGAGAACUCCGACGGCGAUAGCCCACGAGGAGACAGGUAAGUCCCGACCGCCCUUUUGGUUUUCUGUUUUUCUUUAUUUAUUCCAUUUUUAAAAUAAAAAUAAAAAAUAAAAAUAAAUCUAAAAUAACAGAGACACAAAUCACCUUCUGUAGUCUGAAAUCUAUAUCUUGAUUACUUGUGUAUCUGAAAAACAAUUACAGAGAUUGGGUUUAGGCUUUUAUAGCCAAACUAAAGCUAAUUGCUAUGAUUUCUUGUCUUUUUCUUUUUCUUUUCUGUUUGCUUUUAUUUCUUUGAUUUUCUUGCUGUUAGUAUUUUGUUUGUUUCUUCGUUGUCUUCUCUGUUGCAUGUGUUUUCUGUUUUGCAGGUGACUGAUGUGAUGAGCAUGGGAAGGCGGCGAUUGGUGAGACCGACGAUUGGCAAGCCGAGCGGCGGCGACGUAUGCAAAGGAGGCUAGCAGAACAUGCGGUGCCGAAGGCUGACCCUGGCUAGGGUUUCUUACUCAAGAAAAUGUUUUAAUCGGGCUUUGGGCUGUUAGGUUUUUUAGUUGUUGGGCUAGCUGGGUUAGAUUUAAUCUGAUUUGGGCUAGACUUUGGGUUAUUAGGUUUUGGGUUUCAUUUGGGCUUUGGGGUCAUAUUGGGCCUAUUAUAGAUUGACUUUUUAUUUUUGGGUUUACUUUUGUUUUGAUAUUUGGGCCCCGGGCAGAAAUUGGGCCUUACAAUAUAACCAUGCUUCAUUAUCUCAUAGGGCUAGCAUAUACUCUCACAUGUAUUUACACAAAAAAUAACUCAUAUAUAAUUCAAAUAAUGAUAAUUUGGUAGCUUGAAAUUAUGAAACGUAAAAUUAGACUCUAUCACCACACAUUGGAGAAAUGAAUCUCUAUCACACCAAUGACUCAAAGAGUCUAACAUGUCUUAUAAGUGUAGCAUAAAGCUAAACACUCUCUAACACACCAUGUCCUGAUGAAUGGAUCUUAGCUUGACAUUCUUUUAUUUCUCCAAUCUGUCCUGGGCCACAAUGCCCCAAUCACAA